RNAcentral lists this ribosomal RNA (253 nucleotides) under uncultured bacterium. Its description in RNAcentral is "partial 16S ribosomal RNA". It matches the Rfam family "Bacterial small subunit ribosomal RNA", at positions 524 to 776 of the family's 1533-position model. The record is from RNAcentral.
UACAGAGGGGGCAAGCGUUGUUCGGAAUUACUGGGCGUAAAGGGCGCGUAGGCGGCCUUCUAAGUCGAACGUGAAAUCCCUGGGCUCAACCCAGGAACUGCGUCCGAUACUGGAAGGCUUGAAUCCGGGAGAGGGAUGCGGAAUUCCAGGUGUAGCGGUGAAAUGCGUAGAUAUCUGGAGGAACACCCAUUGCGAAGGCAGCUCGCUGGGACGUUACUGACGCUGAGACGCAAAAGCGUGGGGAGCAAACAGG